UUGUCUCAAAGAUUAAGCCAUGCAUGUCUCAGUACAAGCCGCAUUAAGGUGAAACCGCGAAAGGCUCAUUAAAUCAGUUAUGGUUCCUUAGAUCGUACCCACGUUACUUGGAUAACUGUGGUAAUUCUAGAGCUAAUACAUGCAAACAGAGCUCCGACCGGAGACGGGAGGAGUGCUUUUAUUAGAUCAAAACCAAUCGGCGGCGGGCGCGUCCGCGCGUCCGUUCGCCGCUCUACCUGGUGACUCUGAAUAACUUUCCGCUGAUCGCACGGUCUCGCACCGGCGACGUAUCUUUCAAAUGUCUGCCUUAUCAACUGUCGAUGGUAGGUUCUGCGCCUACCAUGGUCGUAACGGGUAACGGGGAAUCAGGGUUCGAUUCCGGAGAGGGAGCCUGAGAAACGGCUACCACAUCCAAGGAAGGCAGCAGGCGCGCAAAUUACCCACUCCCGGCACGGGGAGGUAGUGACGAAAAAUAACGAUACGGGACUCAUCCGAGGCCCCGUAAUCGGAAUGAGUACACUUUAAAUCCUUUAACGAGGACCAAUUGGAGGGCAAGUCUGGUGCCA
This 566-nucleotide ribosomal RNA is filed under the name Megaporus natvigi. RNAcentral describes it as "SSU rRNA". It matches the Rfam family "Eukaryotic small subunit ribosomal RNA", at positions 32 to 569 of the family's 1831-position model. The record is from RNAcentral. Lineage: Eukaryota; Metazoa; Arthropoda; Insecta; Coleoptera; Dytiscidae.